This 507-nucleotide ribosomal RNA is filed under the name uncultured bacterium. RNAcentral's name for it is "bacterial SSU rRNA". It matches the Rfam family "Bacterial small subunit ribosomal RNA", at positions 355 to 879 of the family's 1533-position model. The record is from RNAcentral.
UGGGGAAUAUUGGACAAUGGGCGAAAGCCUGAUCCAGCAAUGCCGCGUGGGUGAAGAAGGUCUUCGGAUUGUAAAGCCCUUUCGGCGGGGACGAUGAUGACGGUACCCGCAGAAGAAGCCCCGGCUAACUUCGUGCCAGCAGCCGCGGUAAUACGAAGGGGGCUAGCGUUGCUCGGAAUUACUGGGCGUAAAGGGCGCGUAGGCGGCGCGCACAGUCAGGCGUGAAAUUCCUGGGCUUAACCUGGGGGCUGCGCUUGAUACGUGCAGACUCGAGUUCGGAAGAGGGUCGUGGAAUUCCCAGUGUAGAGGUGAAAUUCGUAGAUAUUGGGAAGAACACCGGUGGCGAAGGCGGCGACCUGGUCCGACACUGACGCUGAGGCGCGAAAGCGUGGGGAGCAAACAGGAUUAGAUACCCUGGUAGUCCACGCCGUAAACGAUGUGCGCUGGAUGUUGGGUGACCUAGUCACUCAGUGUCGUAGCUAACGCGAUAAGCGCACCGCCUGGGGA